RNAcentral lists this long non-coding RNA (263 nucleotides) under Solanum lycopersicum (tomato). RNAcentral's name for it is "partial TCONS_00043107". Lineage: Eukaryota; Viridiplantae; Streptophyta; Magnoliopsida; Solanales; Solanaceae. The record is from RNAcentral.
GAGCCUCAACAGAGAAGCAGCCAUUCGGGCUUCUUUGGCAACAGCCUUGGCAACUACAGACUUGACAAUUUGUUGCGCUUGUGGGCAUGACUUAUAGUAGUAUUGCGGGUAUAGUUUAUCAUUGUUACUCUUAAAAGAGAAACAAAUUGGUGAAAAAGCAAGCAGAGCAAUGAAAAUGAAGAAACUCAUGGACCGAGCCAUCUUGAAGUUAAAGACUUAGAUUUAGAAGAAAUUUAUUUUGAUUAAUACUGAGGAAGGCUAGC